Nostoc sp. PCC 7107 is the source of this 37-nucleotide non-coding RNA. The record is from Rfam. Lineage: Bacteria; Bacillati; Cyanobacteriota; Cyanophyceae; Nostocales; Nostocaceae.
GUUUAAACAUCAACUAAUCCCUAUUAGGGAUUGAAAC